CUGGAAUUUUAGAGAUCUAAUGUUUGCUGAGGCCUCUCUGAGACCAGUAGUCCCAGCAAAAACCUCUGUAUAGCUAGCUGUUGAACUUGCCUUGAUGGAGAAACAAGCCAGCAUGCUGGGUUAUUCCCAUCUGGGCAAGGGGGCUCAUGAAGUGUUGUCUCAGGAGCUGUCCAACCAUCUCUGCACAAUGCUGAGGAGAGAGGAGUUUUUAAUAAAUAACAUUUUACUGAGCUUCACAGCUGCUUCAUCUAUGAAGUCUGGCUGAUCCUGACUUCCUGUACAAGGCAUUGAGAGGAACAGAAACUGGGAAAUUCAUACAAGUCAGUAACAUGAAUGUUGAAGCCAUUGCUAAUUAACUGGAGGAUACAGUGUUGGACAAAACCUCUGGAUCCUGAACAAUAGCCAAGCUCUGUAAUACUAGAACUGAGGUUGAUAGGAGCUGUGUUGCCUGCCUGGAAAUAGACAAAUGAAAAGAUGAAGUGCUACUGAAAAUAUUAGAAAUUAAAAGAGAAAAUAUGUUCCCUUCUUUCUGGUUGCAUAUAGCAAUUGCAGCAGAAGCACUGGGAAGGAGACAACUGAAUCCUCCAUAUACUGAGAUCUGAAGGACUGUGUUGGAUUCGGCUAUGGGUAAAGAAAGGCAAAUACAGACUUGAUGGAAACUAUUCACCCUUACCCAGGACCAUUCUGAGCUAAGUGAUUGCCUGGUGUAUCAUUUUAGAUCAAUCUGCAGAGGAAUAAGAAAACAGCUUUAACUUAUGUAUGAAAACGAUAUGUGUGUUUCAGAACAAUGUGUAAAUAUGAUCUAAUUAAUGACAUUUCUAAUUAAACUGUGUUUACUGACUCCAAUGUAGUUGUUAGUGGAUGACUUUUUUCUAUAAACCACCUGCGUUUUCUAGUUUACUCAUUAAAAACCGUACCUUGUAUCAAAAUAUAACCCCAAAUGCAGCUGAUAUGAAGUUGUCUCAUGUAGAAGAGAUACUAGAAAGUUCAAAAUUUCAGUGACUAUUAGAAAUGCUAUGAAAGCAGCCAGAUGCUGCUUUUUAGUCUUGAUAAUUGUAUAUCACAGUGGCAGAUAGUACCAUGAAUCAAAAGAAGGAAGAAUACUACUAGUGCAGUUUUCUUUGGGUGGUCCCAUACAGCUGCUGGAAUCUUAAAUAUAUCAUUGUAGCAUCUUGCUGCAGUUUUACUAACAGUGUUAACAGUGUUAAUAAUGCUAAUGAUAUACUAAUUAUUUGUGCCUACUGAUGUAAAAACGGUUUGUUAAUGUCUGAGGCAAGCAGUGUGCCAAAAGGACAGCCAGUUGCAUGGCCCAAGAGUGGAGAGCUGCCUCUUGCCUUAGUCAAAGAUGAGGUCUUUGUCUCGGCCGCAGUGAAGCGUAGACUUCACUAACCAUCAUCUAUUAAGCCUUAAAUAGCACAGAUACCUGCUGCAGUAGUCCUUGCUGUGGAUAAUGGUUUCAUUUAUUACAAGAGGGUCUGUGGGCCAAGCAGAUGGUACCUUACGUGGGCUAUAGUUAUCACAAAAAACUUUUUUUCUUGAACAUUUUUCUCUUGCAGAAUCAAGAGUAGAUACUGACACAGGGGAGAUCUGGGGAAAAUGUCCUUGAAUAUAUAAAGUAAUGUAACAUCUGAGAGAGGGAAAGCAACUGCUGAAAUAAGCCUCCAAGAAAGAAAUGGAAUUAAAGUUAAAAGGCAACCAGAAAAAAAGCAGCGAAUGCUUUCAACUUAAAGGAAAAGAAUCCGCCUGAGUCCAUGCAGGUGGCCAUUGCCAGCCCACCAAGACUUGCAGGGUGUUUGAGUAAGAGACGGGUAAGACUGUGCUACAAAGCAGUGCUUGGCUUUGUACAGUUGUGAAUCUAUCUUAUGAAAUUUAUGUCUCUGUCUUGGGUGUGAAGUGCCCACUAUCCAGAUUUAGCAACAAGUGCUGAUCCUGCUCUUAUAAACAUUUGGGUCUGUGGAAAAAUACAGGCAAAACAGCAUGUCACCUCAAAACCUAUAAUGUGUUAUCUCUGCAAACUUUUGUGAAAAUAAACAAGAGAUUGAAAGUGGCAUGAGUUUGCAGCAGAGAAUACAUUCAUUUCAAUUGAUGUGUUGGGAAUGGGCAGUUUAUAGUAAUGAAGCAUUAACUUAAUAAGUACAAAAAGUCAUUAUUGCAAUUCCUUCUAUUUAAUUGUUUUUUUUUUCUCUGCUAUUGGUUUGACAGUCUCUGAUUUACUCUUGGUAUUUUGUUCGAUCUUGAAUAUGUGGACAUUAUACCCAUUGCUGUGCAUUUUUCUCUUUCCUUUAGCCUGUUAAUUUUCCAUUCUUUUAGACCAAUUUCUUCCAUGUGUUUUUGAGCAUGGGUUUUCUGCAAGUUUCUUCUUUGAAAGGUAAUUUAGGGCUUUCAUACUGAAAGUUCAGGUUUAUUGCUUUAAAAAGGCCUUGUUAU
Molecule: long non-coding RNA, 2427 nt
Organism: Gallus gallus (chicken)
Lineage: Eukaryota; Metazoa; Chordata; Aves; Galliformes; Phasianidae
Source: Ensembl